UAAAAUAUAUUCUACAAAAGAUUUAGUUCUUACAAAACUAAAAAGACAACUGUCUAUUUUAA
Molecule: transfer RNA, 62 nt
Filed under: Galendromus occidentalis (western predatory mite)
Lineage: Eukaryota; Metazoa; Arthropoda; Arachnida; Mesostigmata; Phytoseiidae
Description: tRNA-Val
Source: RNAcentral